This 870-nucleotide ribosomal RNA is filed under the name uncultured bacterium. RNAcentral's name for it is "bacterial SSU rRNA". It matches the Rfam family "Bacterial small subunit ribosomal RNA", at positions 8 to 846 of the family's 1533-position model. The record is from RNAcentral.
AGAGUUUGAUCCUGGCUCAGGACGAACGCUGGCGGCGUGCUUAACACAUGCAAGUCGAACGGAGAGCGAUGGAAGCUUGCUUCUAUCAAUCUUAGUGGCGAACGGGUGAGUAACGCGUAACCAACCUGCCCUUCAGAGGGGGAUAACAACGGGAAACCGUUGCUAAUACCGCGUACGAUUAAGCUUCGGCAUCGAAGCUUAAUGAAAGGUGGCCUCUAUAUAUAAGCUAUCGCUGAAGGAGGGGGUUGCGUCUGAUUAGCUAGUUGGAGGGGUAACGGCCCACCAAGGCAAUGAUCAGUAGCCGGUCUGAGAGGAUGAACGGCCACAUUGGGACUGAGACACGGCCCAAACUCCUACGGGAGGCAGCAGUGGGGAGUCUUCCGCAAUGGACGAAAGUCUGACGGAGCAACGCCGCGUGAGUGAUGACGGCCUUCGGGUUGUAAAGCUCUGUUAAUCGGGACGAAUGGUCUUUGUGUGAACAAUGCAAAGAUUUGACGGUACCGGAAUAGAAAGCCACGGCUAACUACGUGCCAGCAGCCGCGGUAAUACGUAGGUGGCAAGCGUUGUCCGGAUUUAUUGGGCGUAAAGGGAACGCAGGCGGUCCUUUAAGUCUGAUGUGAAAGCCUUCGGCUUAACCGAAGAAUUGCAUUGGAAACUGGAGGACUUGAGUGCAGAAGAGGAGAGUGGAACUCCAUGUGUAGCGGUGAAAUGCGUAGAUAUAUGGAAGAACACCAGUGGCGAAAGCGGCUCUCUGGUCUGUAACUGACGCCGAGGUUCGAAAGUGUGGGUAGCAAACAGGAUUAGAUACCCUGGUAGUCCACACCGUAAACGAUGAAUGCUAAGUGUUGGAAGGUUUCCGCCCUUCAGUGC